Molecule: long non-coding RNA, 952 nt
Filed under: Sinocyclocheilus grahami
Lineage: Eukaryota; Metazoa; Chordata; Actinopteri; Cypriniformes; Cyprinidae
Description: lncRNA (ENSSGRG00000023027.1)
Source: RNAcentral
UGAAUUCUCUGUGAAGUGCCAUCUGCCGGAUUAUGCACAGUGUCUCUGCCUUGACCUUUGUGUAAUCGUUCAACAAUAACAAACCCUUUCAGCUUCUAAAAAACCACGGUAAGACAAAUCCCUCAGAAAAUAACCCGUCGUCAGAGAAAGAAGAGCUGGCUAAGAGCCUAUGUGUCGUUUUUCUCAGUUGAGCUGAAAGGAUUGGCAGCAUUGUUCAUGAAAUUCAGAUGUUAGGGUUAUCAUCUUCUAAUUAAAGCAGACAGUGGACCGGGCUUUGUUCAGGAGCCGGACAGAAAUUUAAACGGACUGUGUAAAGCUGUAAAGAGGCUCCCGAGGGAUCUCAUUAUGAACUAUAUGAAGAGAGCCCAUCUGCACCAAGGCAUUGUCUUCAUUCUGCUGUAAAGAUGAGUUCUUGGCUGCUUGCUGUGUCAUGGCAUUUCAACACCAUCAAAAAAUCAUUACAGAUCAGAGAGGAACAGGAAGAUAGACAUGUCAGAUGUUAGACAUACAUUAUGUCACACAGUGUUUGUUGAAGAAGCUGUAGAGAUCUGCUCCUCUGUCUGCAAAAGAAGACAAGUCUGCAAAUUAAGUCAGCAACUUGGAAGAAAGCUGCAUCUUCAUGGACGAGAGAGCGUGGAAGCUCUUGGCUCUCGUGCGCAGCAGCAGAAUGAAGAUGUCACUUUUGACAAACUGGCUACUGUUGUGAGCACUCGGCCCAUCGCUUACACUGUCAUUGUGUUUGUUUAUAUACAUCCAUGUUCUUGUGAACUCGGGAACGCCUGGAAUCUGAGAUCUACAGCCACCCUGAGACUUCAGUCAUAAACCGUGAAGACUCGAAGAGCAUGACUCCAUCCUAACAAUAAUCCUGAUCUUUCUAUUUUUCAGUUUUCACUCAGCGUGCAGAUGAAAACCUCUCCCACAGGUCCAACACAACUUCCAUCAAAAGCCUGAC